RNAcentral lists this ribosomal RNA (474 nucleotides) under uncultured bacterium. Its description in RNAcentral is "bacterial SSU rRNA". It matches the Rfam family "Bacterial small subunit ribosomal RNA", at positions 33 to 507 of the family's 1533-position model. The record is from RNAcentral.
GACGACGCUGGCGGCGUGCCUAACACAUGCAAGUCGAGCGGGGUCGAAGCGAGGGGUAACUCGGACUUCUACCUAGCGGCGGACGGGUGAGUAACGCGUGGGCAACCUGCCUCAAGGUUUGGGAUAACAGCUCGAAAGGGCUGCUAAUACCGGAUAUGCCUGUGGCCUCGCAUGGGGCUAUGAGCAAAGGGGAAACCCGCCUUGAGAUGGGCCCGCGUCCCAUCAGCUAGUUGGUGAGGUGAAGGCUCACCAAGGCGACGACGGGUAGCCGGCCUGAGAGGGUGACCGGCCACACUGGGACUGAGACACGGCCCAGACUCCUACGGGGGGCAGCAGUGGGGGAUCUUGCACAAUGGGCGAAAGCCUGAUGCAGCGACGCCGCGUGAGCGAAGAAGGCCUUCGGGUUGUAAAGCUCUGUCUGGAGGGACGAAGAAAAUGACGGUACCUCCGGAGGAAGCCACGGCUAACUACGUG